Molecule: ribosomal RNA, 460 nt
Filed under: uncultured bacterium
Lineage: Bacteria
Description: partial 16S ribosomal RNA
Rfam family: Bacterial small subunit ribosomal RNA
Source: RNAcentral
CCUACGGGUGGCAGCAGUGAGGAAUAUUGGUCAAUGGGCGUAAGCCUGAACCAGCCAAGUCGCGUGAGGGAUGAAGGUUCUAUGGAUCGUAAACCUCUUUUAUAAGGGAAUAAAGUGUGGGACGUGUCCUAUUUUGUAUGUACCUUAUGAAUAAGGAUCGGCUAACUCCGUGCCAGCAGCCGCGGUAAUACGGAGGAUCCGAGCGUUUUCCGGAUUUAUUGGGUUUAAAGGGUGCGUAGGCGGCCUUUUAAGUCAGCGGGGAAAGUCUGUGGCUCAACCAUAGUAUUGCCGUUGAAACUGGUGGGCUUGAGUGGGUGUGAAGCAGGCGGAAUGCGUGGUGUAGCGGUGAAAUGCUUAGAUAUCACGCAGAACCCCGAUUGCGAAGGCAGCAUGCCGGGCCAUGACUGACGCUGAUGCACGAAAGCGUGGGGAUCGAACAGGAUUAGAUACCCGUGUAGUC